RNAcentral lists this ribosomal RNA (256 nucleotides) under uncultured bacterium. RNAcentral describes it as "partial small subunit ribosomal RNA". It matches the Rfam family "Bacterial small subunit ribosomal RNA", at positions 26 to 288 of the family's 1533-position model. The record is from RNAcentral.
AGGACGGACGCUGGCGGCGUGCUUAACACAUGCAAGUCGAGCGGAAAGGCCCUUCGGGGUACUCGAGCGGCGAACGGGUGAGUAACACGUGAGCAACCUGCCCCUGGCUCUGGGAUAGCCUCCGGAAACGGGGAUUAAUACCGGACAUGACCCUUGACCGCAUGGUUGGGGGUGGAAAGUUUUUCGGCCAGGGUGGGCUCGCGGCCUAUCAGCUUGGUUGGGGGGGUGACGGCCCACCAAGGCGACGACGGUAGCC